GAUGAACGCUAGCGGCAGACUUAAUACAUGUGAGUCGAGGGGCAGCGGAUCCCUCCGGGGAUGCCGGCGACCGGCGAACGGGUGAGUAACACGUAUGGAAUCUACCCUUAACUGGGGAAUAGCCUUGAGAAAUCGAGGGUAAUGCCCCAUACCAUCUUGAAAAGGCAUCUUUUCUAGAUGAAAGCUCCGGCGGUUAAGGAUGGCCAUGCGCUCCAUUAGCUUGUUGGUGAGAUAACCGCUCACCAAGGCCGCGAUGGAUAGCUGAUCUGAGAGGAUGAUCAGCCACAUUGGCACUGAGACACGGGCCAAACUCCUACGGGAGGCAGCAGUAGGGAAUCUUGGUCAAUUGGCGAAAGCCAGAACCAGUCAUGCCGCGUGCAGGAUGAAGGCCCUACGGGUCGUAAACUGCUUUUAUUCGGGAAGAAAAAGUCUGUUUCCACAGACCUUGACGGUACCGAUUGAAUAAGGACCGGCCAACUCCGUGCCAGCAGCCGCGGUAAUACGGAGGGUCCAAGCGUUAUCCGGAUUCACUGGGUUUAAAGGGUGCGCAGGCGGCCAAGUAAGUCAGUGGUGAAAGCCUUCGGCUCAACCGGAGAAUUGCCAUUGAAACUACUUGGCUUGAGUGCAGUAGAGGUAGGCGGAAUGUAGCAUGUAGCGGUGAAAUGCAUAGAUAUGCUACAGAACACCGAUAGCGAAAGCAGCUUACCACACUGUAACUGACGCUGAGGCACGAAAGCAUGGGUAGCAAACAGGAUUAGAUACCCUGGUAGUCCAUGCCGUAAACUUUGAACACUCGGAGUUUGCCACCUAGUGGUAAGCUCCCUAGCGAAAGCGUUAAGCGUUCCACCUGGGGAGUACGGCCGCGAGGCUAAAACUCAAAGGAAUUGACGGGGGCCCGCACAAGCGGUGGAGCAUGUGGCUCAAUUCGAUGCAACGCGAAGAACCUUACCUAGGCUCGAACGCUAGAGGACCGCUCCUGAAAGGGAGCUUCCCCUUUGGGGCUUCUAGCGAGGUACUGCAUGGCUGUCGUCAGCUCGUGUCGUGAGAUGUUGGGUUAAGUCCCGCAACGAGCGUAACCCCUGUUGCUAGUUACCAUCGGGUAGUGCCGGGGACUCUAGCGAAACUGCCUGCGCAAGCAGUGAGGAAGGUGGGGAUGACGUCAAGUCAUCAUGGUCCUUACGCCUAGGGCUGCACACGUGCUACAAUGGCCGGUACAACGGGUAGCCACCUCGCGAGAGGGAGCGAAUCCCUGAAAACCGGUCCCAGUUCGGAUUGGAGUCUGCAACUCGACUCCAUGAAGCAGGAAUCGCUAGUAAUCGCGGAUCAGCAAUGCCGCGGUGAAUCCGUUCCCGGGCCUUGUACACACCGCCCGUCAAGCCAUGGAAGCUGAGAACACCCGAAGUCCGUGACUCAACUCCGGCCUUGUGCCGGAGGGAGAGCGGCCGAAGGUGAGUUCAGUGACUGGGGCU
RNAcentral lists this ribosomal RNA (1469 nucleotides) under uncultured bacterium. Its description in RNAcentral is "bacterial SSU rRNA". It matches the Rfam family "Bacterial small subunit ribosomal RNA". The record is from RNAcentral.